UCACCAUGGCAUCUUCUCAAUCAUCAUCUUUAGAUAAUGAUUUUGUGAUGAAGUCACCAACUUGUUGGUGUGGUUUGAAAACGCCACUAAAAACUUCCUACACUAAGAAAAAUUUUGGAAGGAGAUUUUUUGCCUGCCCCAAGUAUAAUACGGGAGAUGCGAGGUGUGAAUUCUUCGUAUGGGUGGAUAUUUUUCAGUUGUUAGUGGAGAACAUGUUAUUAAAAGAGAAUAAGGCCUGGAAGACGUGGGAUGAUGUAUUACAACGCGAGUAUGCCGUUCGAAAAAUGGAAGAAAAAGUGAGAGAGAUAGCGAAGAAUCUGAAAAA
This is a long non-coding RNA of Juglans microcarpa x Juglans regia, 325 nucleotides long. RefSeq lists it as uncharacterized. The transcript is spliced from 2 exons. NCBI's taxonomy places the organism in Eukaryota, Viridiplantae, Streptophyta, Magnoliopsida, Fagales, Juglandaceae. The record is from RefSeq and is a predicted model, not a curated record.